GAUUCCGUAGCUCAGCUGGGAGAGCGCUACCUUGACAGGGUAGAGGUCGCUGGUUCAAGCCCAGUCGGAAUCA
This 73-nucleotide transfer RNA is filed under the name Bacillus spizizenii. Its description in RNAcentral is "tRNA-Val". It matches the Rfam family "tRNA". From Rfam's summary of the family: Transfer RNA (tRNA) molecules are approximately 80 nucleotides in length. RNAcentral also lists the same sequence under 2 other names. The record is from RNAcentral. Lineage: Bacteria; Bacillati; Bacillota; Bacilli; Caryophanales; Bacillaceae.